Molecule: ribosomal RNA, 905 nt
Filed under: uncultured Planctomycetota bacterium
Lineage: Bacteria; Pseudomonadati; Planctomycetota
Description: bacterial SSU rRNA
Rfam family: Bacterial small subunit ribosomal RNA
Source: RNAcentral
GGCAUGGAUUAGGCAUGCAAGUCGCGCGCGAAAGCCUUCGGGCGAGUAAAGCGGCGAAAGGGUGAGUAACACGUAACCAACCUGCCCUCCAGAUCGGGAUAACCGUGGGAAACUGCGGGUAAAACCGAAUGGUUCCAUCGGGAGGCAUCUUCUGGUGGAUAAAUGGCGGCUUCGGCCGCCGCUGGGGGAGGGGGUUGCGGCCUAUCAGCUUGUUGGUGAGGUAACGGCCCACCAAGGCUAUGACGGGUAGCCGGUCUGAGAGGAUGGUCGGUCACACUGGGACUGAGACACUGCCCAGACUCCUACGGGAGGCUGCAGUCGAGAAUCUUCCGCAAUGGGCGAAAGCCUGACGGAGCGACACCGCGUGCAGGAUGAAGGCCUUAGGGUUGUAAACUGCUGUCACGCUAUAGGAACUGCGCGUCGUUAAUAUCUACGCGUUUGACCAAAGCGAGAGGAAGCACCGGCUAACUCCGUGCCAGCAGCCGCGGUAAGACGGAGGGUGCAAACGUUGUUCGGAAUCACUGGGCAUAAAGCGCACGUAGGCGGCCUUUCAAGUCAGGUGUGAAAGCCCACGGCUCAACCGUGGAACGGCACUUGAAACUGAAUGGCUAGAGGACGGUUGGGGUGAGUGGAACUCCUGGUGGAGCGGUGAAAUGCGUAGAUAUCAGGAGGAACACCGGUGGCGAAAGCGGCUCACUGGACCGUAACUGACGCUCAGGUGCGAAAGCUAGGGUAGCGAACGGGAUUAGAUACCCCGGUAGUCCUAGCCGUAAACGAUGGGUACUAGGUAGGGGGAAUUCCUAUGGUUUUCUCUACCGCAGCAAAUGUGUUAAGUACCCCGCCUGGGGAGUACGCUCGCAAGAGUAAAACUCAAAGGAAUUGACGGGGGCUCACACAAGCGGUGG